AUGACAGGCUGAUGGAACAGAAAAAGUCUCUGAAGUUGCCAGGUUUCUUUAGUCAAACUUCCUCCUCUACCAGGCCCAGGCCCAGAGUCAGAAGGAGGUGAAUGAGAAGAUUCUACAACUCUGUGAGACCUUGGAUGGCAUACUGAGCCAGGUACUGAUUUGGCACGAACUUUAACCAAAAGUUGACUGUGGCACUACUGUUGUUUUUCAUACCAAAUGAAAUACACAAAACCUAAGAAAACAGGAGAAUUUCUGGAGGCAGAUCCUGUAAGGUUUUGCAGUCAAUACCUCUAACCUCAGUUUUCAAUGUUUUGUGUGAACUUUCUCUAAAGCCAAAUAACAGGAAACCUGUCAUCUCUGAAAAUGGAUUAUCUUUCCAUAGAAGGAUUCAUUUUUCCUAUGCAUCUUUUCCUUAUACAUGUGAGAGGUCCAACACUGUAAUGGGAAACUAAGCAAAACAGGACUGCGUUAACACUACUCUAAUAUGCUGGUGAGCAUUUAUAUAGAGCCAGAAGAUGAUUACAAAGCUGCAUUAAAUUUCUUUCCCACUGAAACUGAGCAGUUAGCAACAGGCAAGUAUCUAUUUUGCUGUGAGAAGACGGUACGGAAAACAACAAAGCUCCCAUAGGCAAAAUUUCAUGUUGUUGUUCUACCUGCCAUAUUGGAAGUGCAAUAAGGGCCAUUUACUGGGGAUGGGAAUAGCUCUCUAGGGGAAGGACAGGAAGACAGGAUCAUGUUAACACUAAACUUGCUUUCUUCCCAAGAACUUCAUUAAAGAGAACAAACAGUAUUUCUUCAGGGCUUUAACGAAUAAUGAAAUCCCUAAAAUCCUUUUUUGAGGGAUGUAACUAUGAACAUUUUUACUUUAUAGGAGGCAAAACCAAGAGAGAGGCUUUGACUAAAAAUUUUUAGUGGUCUUCAUUUUAGGUCCCUUGUGUUUUGGAUGUCAAGGUCUAUAUUUCCUCCUGCUCCUCCUCCUUCGUCUAAAAGAUGCUGGGCUCCCACAACUAUAGCUAAGAACAGCUGUAUCACAGUGUCACGGAAAAUUAAACUCAAAUUAUUUCAGGUAGAAAACCAAGUAUUAAAAGUUUCAGUGCAAGAAACUGGACUCUCAGCAUCUUACACAGGUCUCUGAGUUUCAAUUUCCUCUAGCUCAGCACUCCUGCACCAGAAAUUCACAGUGCUGCCACCAUGUAUCUACACGAGUGCAAAAAAUCUUUUAUAGAAAAGGCCAAAGGGCAAACAGCUGCUGCAUAAAUACUUUGAAAGUCAGUCUCUGAAGUGGUGAAUGGUUAAGGGGACAUCUACAGCUUUCAAAUAGACAAGAGCCUACUUCCCUCAUUCUCUGAGCUUAUCAGGCAUGGAUCACUCCAAACUGAAAUCCUCCAGCUAUGGCUAGUGCUUUGAUGAACCCAGGGGCAACGGGCCCUGCCAUCAGGACCAGCAUUACAGUGAUGUUAUUAUUUGGCUUCAGCUGCCCAGACUGCAGUCAGAGACUCUUUUCAUCCUGUUGCAAAGACUUCAUAGACAUACCCUAAACAACAGCUGUUGCAUUACUCUCUUGGAAAUAAAGAAAUAUAAUGUUACAGAAGUCUCACCUUCCUCCUCUCAUGGUUGGUUUUGCAUAUUUUUGCUCUAUACCAAAUCAUUUUUGUGUCCUUUUUUUCUCUCCAGAAAUUAGUAUUUUAUUUUUCCAGAGAGUGAAGCUGCUCUGCAAGGUGAAGAGUGCAGUGGAGAGAAGGCACAGCAGGAGUUUAGGAAGCUUGGGAGUUUUCCACAUCACCAUUUUUUUCCUGGCUGUGAGAGCAGCAAAAUAAUUAAGAUCCUUGUAAUUAAUAAAAUAUGAAAUCUGUGUAACUUCUGACUCUGUAUAUGCAAUGUUAAAAAUGGUGAUUCACCUGGUUUGUACUGCGAAGAUGAAGUGACAUGCUUUACUUUUUUUGAGCAGUUAAAAGAAGUCCCUCAGUAAAUACAGUAUAUUUACUUGACUGUUUUUUAUUUCCUAAGUCAUCCAAACCUCACUCACAUGGCAUUACAUAGCCGGUAAUAUUUACAUUAUUUUGUCUUUGCUGAUUUGGUAAAUAAGGAAGGGAGUCUGUAUUUCUGAAAUAGAAGCAAGAAUUUAAAAGUUUAACAGUGGCCUUGAGCAGCUCCUGUGUCAGACUACAUGAUGCAACAUAACUUGAAGCCGAGGUCCCCACAUUUAUUUCCUUCUAGACCUGCUUUAAAAGUCAUUUGUGCUGUAAUGUUUACAGAAAGCCCCAAAGACAAUUAUGAGGUUAGUGGAAACUUGUGGUUACAUUUAACAGCUGUCUACAUAUGCACACAGGUGGUCCACAGAUUUUGUUGUUGCUUGCACCAUUAGCAAGUUUGCUGAUGAUACCAAACUGGGAGGUGCUCUUGACUCUCUUGAAGGACAAGAGGCCUUGCAGAGGGAUCUAGA
Phalacrocorax carbo (great cormorant) is the source of this 2443-nucleotide non-coding RNA. The record is from RefSeq and is a predicted model, not a curated record. NCBI's taxonomy places the organism in Eukaryota, Metazoa, Chordata, Aves, Suliformes, Phalacrocoracidae.